AGGACGAACGCUGGCGGCGUGCCUAACACAUGCAAGUGGAGCGACGACCCAGGCUUCGGCCUGGUGCAAAGCCGCGAACGGGUGAGUAACACGUGGGUAACCUGCCCCGAUGAUUGGGACAACCCGAGGAAACUCGGGCUAAUACCGAAUGUGCCCUACAGCCGUAAGGUUGCUGGGGAAAGGAAGCUUCGGCCUCCGCAUCGGGAUGGGCCCGCGGCCCAUUAGCUUGUUGGUGAGGUAAUGGCUCACCAAGGCUACGAUGGGUAGCUGGUCUGAGAGGACGAUCAGCCACACUGGGACUGAGACACGGCCCAGACUCCUACGGGAGGCAGCAGUAGGGAAUCUUGCGCAAUGGGCGAAAGCCUGACGCAGCCAUGCCGCGUGAAUGAUGAAGGUCUUAGGAUUGUAAAAUUCUUUCAGCGGGGACGAUAAUGACGGUACCGCAGAAGAAGCCCCGGCUAACUUCGUGCCAGCAGCCGC
Molecule: ribosomal RNA, 480 nt
Filed under: uncultured bacterium
Lineage: Bacteria
Description: SSU rRNA
Rfam family: Bacterial small subunit ribosomal RNA
Source: RNAcentral